GACGAACGCUGGCGGCGUGCUUAACACAUGCAAGUCGAACGGAAAGGCCCUGCUUUUGUGGGGUGCUCGAGUGGCGAACGGGUGAGUAACACGUGAGUAACCUGCCCUUGACUUUGGGAUAACUUCAGGAAACUGGGGCUAAUACCGGAUAGGAGCUCCUGCUGCAUGGUGGGGGUUGGAAAGUUUCGGCGGUUGGGGAUGGAUUCGCGGCUUAUCAGCUUGUUGGUGGGGUAGUGGCUUACCAAGGCUUUGACGGGUAGCCGGCCUGAGAGGGUGACCGGCCACAUUGGGACUAAGAUACGGCCCAGAAUCCUACGGGAGGCAGCAGUGGGAAAUAUUACACAGUGAGCGGAAGCCUGAUGCGGCGACGCCGCGUGCGGGAUGACGGCCUUCGGGUUGUAAACCGCUUUCGCCUGUGACGAAGCGUGAGUGACGGUAAUGAAUAAAGAAGCACCGGCUAACUACGUG
Molecule: ribosomal RNA, 468 nt
Filed under: uncultured bacterium
Lineage: Bacteria
Description: partial 16S ribosomal RNA
Rfam family: Bacterial small subunit ribosomal RNA
Source: RNAcentral